AUCUUCGGGGUCGGGUGCAAGUCCCAACCGGCGGUAUAGUCCGCGACCCGCGGUGAGCAAUCAAAGCGGCUGAUUUGGUGUGAUUCCAAAACCGACAGUAAAGUCUGGAUGAGAGAAGAA
RNAcentral lists this non-coding RNA (120 nucleotides) under Bariatricus massiliensis. RNAcentral describes it as "FMN riboswitch (RFN element)". It matches the Rfam family "FMN riboswitch aptamer (RFN element)". From Rfam's summary of the family: The RFN element is a highly conserved domain that is found frequently in the 5'-untranslated regions of prokaryotic mRNAs that encode for flavin mononucleotide (FMN) biosynthesis and transport proteins. This element is a metabolite-dependent riboswitch that directly binds FMN in the absence of proteins. The record is from RNAcentral. Lineage: Bacteria; Bacillati; Bacillota; Clostridia; Lachnospirales; Lachnospiraceae.